Heterocephalus glaber (naked mole-rat) is the source of this 71-nucleotide small nucleolar RNA. The record is from Ensembl. Lineage: Eukaryota; Metazoa; Chordata; Mammalia; Rodentia; Bathyergidae.
UGCAUCAGUGAUGACCACUUCUGGCUUAUGAAUUAUAAAUGAAUAUUUUUUCCUGAAAGUCUGAAGUAUUU